CUUUUGCAUUAUUCUUCUCAGUUAAGUUGCUUCCUUCAUCAUUGGCUUCCGUCAAAUCUGUCUGAUGGAUAUUAAUAGUGGAUAAAGAAGGUGUCUUGGUCACUGAUAUGAGCUCCGAAAGCGCAGAGAGGUCUGAGAUACGAGGGAGAAAAACAUUGGACGUUAAACUCUCUCGUGACAUGUGAUGAUCUUCUAAAGGGUUGG
Molecule: unclassified non-coding RNA, 204 nt
Filed under: Hevea brasiliensis (rubber tree)
Lineage: Eukaryota; Viridiplantae; Streptophyta; Magnoliopsida; Malpighiales; Euphorbiaceae
Source: RNAcentral